Molecule: ribosomal RNA, 495 nt
Filed under: uncultured bacterium
Lineage: Bacteria
Description: partial 16S ribosomal RNA
Rfam family: Bacterial small subunit ribosomal RNA
Source: RNAcentral
GACGAACGCUGGCGGCGUGCCUAAUACAUGCAAGUAGAACGCUGAAGGAGGAGCUUGCUUCUCCGGAUGAGUUGCGAACGGGUGAGUAACGCGUAGGUAACCUGCCUGGUAGCGGGGGAUAACUAUUGGAAACGAUAGCUAAUACCGCAUAAGAGUAGAUGUCGCAUGACAUUUGCUUAAAAGGUGCAACUGCACCACUACCAGAUGGACCUGCGUUGUAUUAGCUAGUUGGUGAGGUAACGGCUCACCAAGGCAACGAUACAUAGCCGACCUGAGAGGGUGAUCGGCCACACUGGGACUGAGACACGGCCCAGACUCCUACGGGAGGCAGCAGUAGGGAAUCUUCGGCAAUGGACGGAAGUCUGACCGAGCAACGCCGCGUGAGUGAAGAGGGUUUUCGGAUCGUAAAGCUCUGUUGUAAGAGAAGAACGAGUGUGAGAGUGGAAAGUUCACACUGUGACGGUAUCUUACCAGAAAGGGACGGCUAACUACGUG